Molecule: ribosomal RNA, 333 nt
Filed under: Triticum aestivum (bread wheat)
Lineage: Eukaryota; Viridiplantae; Streptophyta; Magnoliopsida; Poales; Poaceae
Description: partial small subunit ribosomal RNA
Source: RNAcentral
AUUCUUGGAGAUGGGACCUCCUGCUUGUUCUGGAAAGACCGCUGGAUCUCAGGCCGCUCGUUCAAUGAGCUUGCGCCGACCAUGCUUGCCUUGGUCCCCAAGCGCCAGAGACGGACGAUGACCGUUGCCCUGGGUGGGAGAUAUCCAGUGUGCAUUGGGUCUAGUUGCGAUGGUUCAAUACGUCGAGCUUUGGCAUGCCCUGCAGCCUGUUACCUUAUCCCUCGACCCCCGAUGUGCUGCGCUGGAAGUGGACCGAUUCAGGCGUCUACACUACGAAUUCCUGCUACCGAGCCAUGUUUUCAAGCUCUACCAUCGCGCCCAACUGGAAGCUAA